This 72-nucleotide transfer RNA is filed under the name Nanobdellota archaeon. Its description in RNAcentral is "tRNA-Tyr". It matches the Rfam family "tRNA". From Rfam's summary of the family: Transfer RNA (tRNA) molecules are approximately 80 nucleotides in length. The record is from RNAcentral. Lineage: Archaea; Nanobdellati; Nanobdellota.
CCCGUCAUAGCUCAACGGUAGAGCGUUCGGCUGUAGCCCGAGAGGUUCCCGGUUCAAAUCCGGGUGACGGGA